GAGGCACUGGGUAGGUGGGGCUCUGGGGCUCCUGACACCUGGACCUCUCCUCCCCAGGCCCACA
Cebus imitator (Panamanian white-faced capuchin) is the source of this 64-nucleotide microRNA precursor. The record is from Ensembl. NCBI's taxonomy places the organism in Eukaryota, Metazoa, Chordata, Mammalia, Primates, Cebidae.